Long non-coding RNA from Mesocricetus auratus (golden hamster), 635 nucleotides. RefSeq lists it as uncharacterized. The transcript has 2 exons. The record is from RefSeq and is a predicted model, not a curated record. Lineage: Eukaryota; Metazoa; Chordata; Mammalia; Rodentia; Cricetidae.
ACCAGAUUGUCUGUGUUGCCCUGAUUCACGGCGUUCACUUUCUGCAGGAUAAUGAGGCAUCACUGGCAUUUGGUGGCAGAAGAGGGAAAAGAAAUAUUCAAGUUGCCUUUCUCCUAUACAAGAGCAUCCAACAAGAGCCCCCACCGCCACCUCUUCUGAUUCCAAGAAGAGAGCAGCAGUCACCAUCUCGGCUCCCGGAUGCCACUCAAAAUAUCAAGAGGAGUCCUUCAGUUUCAAGACUGGGUGGCUUUGUGCUUUUUCAGUCAGAGAGAGUUGACCCGGCUUCUCAUCUGAUAGCUUUCUGCAGACCCUGCAGAAUAACGGGUGCUCGGCUUACCCGGUGAUUUACAGCCGUCUCAUUUGCUUCUCAUAUCUCCCCUUCCCAGAGAGCAGGAAGCCUUCCUUUCCUCUCUGGCCUCAAAGCAAUUUUCCUUAUCUCCCACAAGUUCAAGGCCCUUCUCCUUUAUGCGCUGCCGAUUCCCCUAAAUAAUGUUUUCUGUUUUCCUCUUUGUUCUCUCUUCUCCUCCCCUCCAUUCUCUACCAAUCAUUUCCUCCCUCCCUUCUCUUUCUAGCAUCAAUGUUUUGUUUUUUAUCAGAGGGGCCAAUCUCAUAUAAACAUAGAACUCUGCUAUUCA